GGGCGGCGCCGCCCCCCGAGCGCGGCGGGGGCAGGGCCGGCGGCGGGCCGGGAGCCCCGGAGCGCUGCUGCCCGGAGCGCUGCUGCCCGGGGGAGCGCUGCUGCCCGCCGGCCCCGCGGGACGGCCGCGCUCAAGUUUGCGCUGAGCAUCGCUGCGGUCCCCGCAGAGCCGCCCGGUCGGUGCGAGUCGCCCAGCAGCGCCCGGAGAAGGGAGAUGCGCGCUCCCGGCGCUGGGAACAGGUAAAGAUCACAACAUGUUGGCUGCCUAUAAUUUCUGAUAGCCAUACAAGAACUCCUGACUGGUUCCCUCCUGACAGGUGAGGUAUCAGCAGUAUGACAGCCUUGACUGAUCUCAUGGGAUUCCCAUCUGCAGACACUCAGUUCCUCUGUUAGGAAACCAGAUUCAUCCUAAGGCAAGCAGGUAAGAAACCAGUGAUACCUUAGGUUUUAAGUUUUCCUGUUCUGU
Molecule: long non-coding RNA, 465 nt
Filed under: Taeniopygia guttata (zebra finch)
Lineage: Eukaryota; Metazoa; Chordata; Aves; Passeriformes; Estrildidae
Description: lncRNA (ENSTGUG00000029372.1)
Source: RNAcentral